Molecule: ribosomal RNA, 500 nt
Filed under: uncultured bacterium
Lineage: Bacteria
Description: partial 16S ribosomal RNA
Rfam family: Bacterial small subunit ribosomal RNA
Source: RNAcentral
AUUGAACGCUGGCGGAAUGCUUUACACAUGCAAGUCGAACGGCAGCACGGACUUCGGUCUGGUGGCGAGUGGCGAACGGGUGAGUAAUGUAUCGGAACGUGCCCAGUCGUGGGGGAUAACGGCGGGAAAAUUACGCUAAUACCGCAUACGAUCUAUGGAUGAAAGCGGGGGAUCGCAAGACCUCGCGCGAUUGGAGCGGCCGAUAUCAGAUUAGGUAGUUGGUGGGGUAAAGGCCCACCAAGCCAACGAUCUGUAGCUGGUCUGAGAGGACGACCAGCCACACUGGAACGGAGACACGGUACAGACUCCUACGGGAGGCAGCAGUGGGGAAUUUUGGACAAUGGGCGAAAGCCUGAUCCAGCCAUUCCGCGUGCAGGAUGAAGGCCCUCGGGUUGUAAACUGCUUUUGUACAGAACGAAAAGGUUUCUACUAAUACUAGGAGCUCAUGACGGUACUGUAAGAAUAAGCACCGGCUAACUACGUGCCAGCCGCCGCGGUAA